Lytechinus variegatus (green sea urchin) is the source of this 2729-nucleotide long non-coding RNA. RefSeq lists it as uncharacterized. The transcript is spliced from 2 exons. The record is from RefSeq and is a predicted model, not a curated record. NCBI's taxonomy places the organism in Eukaryota, Metazoa, Echinodermata, Echinoidea, Temnopleuroida, Toxopneustidae.
CACCAUCACCACCUUCACCAUCAUCAUAAUCAUCACCAUCAACAUUAUCACCAUCAUCACCACCACCUUUCUCUGCUGGUCUUGCAGCUGAUUUUGACUAUGUUCAACAAUACAGGGAUUAGAAUAAUGCUCCGUUUAGAGAAGUUUUUGUAAUCUCUUAAGAAUACUAAUGAAAAAGUAAGCAAAGUUUGAAAAACACAUACAGAUAAAAGAGUCUAAAAUCAAAUUCAAAAGCACAAUGCUGGGAUCUUCAUCAUUGGUGUCGCAAGUUCUCAAUUAUUUUCAUGUCCAUGUUUCUUUACACAGUGCUUAAUAUGAAAUAUAUACUGAAAUGUCACAUUCAUACUCCUCAUAGAAUCAUGGAGAUGAAAAAAGGAUAGAUGGACAUAUUAUUACACGCGAUUUCAAAAGAUAAAUUGAGAAUUUCAAUAAAAUUGUUAAAAAUGACAUUGUGCUAUCACACAGUCAAAUCUUGCUGCGCUCAUAUGACUGUGACACAGACUCCAUAAAGAAUGAGUGACAUUCAAUUCAAAUUUUCUUUAGUUAUUCAGCAUUUUAUUUUUUUAUACAUCUGUUAGAAACAGCAUAGGAAACAUUGAACUCUGUACAAGGAAACAUUAAACUUUGUACAUAUACAUUAUGCAUAUCAUUUUUGUACAAAACUUUACUAAGACGGGAACACACAGACAUUAAACAAUUUAAACAAUGUUUUUUUUUGGUCCUGCCAGCAUAUGUCAAUUAUUUUUACAUUCAAUACAUCACAAUACCUUUCUAUUAACACAUCUUUAAAAGGGUGCUCCAGAUACUCAUGAUAAUAAUGAUUUUCAACACAAAGGGAAAGUCAGACAAACAAGAUAGUCAGUUUCAUCAUAAUACAAUGAAUAACAAGGUCAUGACAUUUUAAAAUUUGCAUUAAUAGUACAACAGUACUGCGCAUGUCUUCAUAAUAAGAGAACUGAUGUGUAAUCUCCCCACCUAUUUUUUACAUGAUAUUGUCAUUCAGAUGUUUCAUCGAAAAUGUAAAAACAAGACUGGAGUCAAUGGGUAGGAUAAUCAUUGCUGCAACUUAUUUUGUUGCGAGGGAGACAUGUCAAACACACAUGAAUGUUUUAUUCAGAAGAAUUCAUGAGAAUUCAUGAGAAUUUCUAUUCUUUCUGUUUUUCAUUUCAAUCAGUUUGAGUAUAUUCAAUUUUCUUGAAGCACCAUGAGCACCAAAAGCUGGACCUGUGCGCUAUAUCAGAAGCCACCAUUAUUAUCAAGUAUGAAAAUAUGAUUUCAUGCUAUAAAAUAAAAAGUGAAUAGGCAUUAAUGCGAUGGUGCAAGAUUUUUCACAUUAAAAGGUGAAAGAAUGAUGGUCUGAAUAGUGUCUGAAUAUUCGCUAUUCGUAUUGUACAACGCCUCAGAAGUUGGCGAGAAUACGAACAAUCACCAAUUUUUUCCUAUAUUAAUCAAUGACAAAGAAUUAUUCAAGAAGUUGAUACCAUAAUCUAAACUGAAAUUCAGCUGAUGAAAUAACUAUAUCCCAUUUAUGCAUAAAUUAUUGGGUAACAAAACAUUUAAAAGAGCACAAACUUGUUAAAAAAAAGUUAUGGUUAUGGUAUCCUUACUCAUUAAAAAAAGUCCUUCCUUAUUCAGAAAGAAAGAACCCCCCCCUACUCCUACAGAUAAUUCUCUUUAUAAAAGAGUGGUACACAAUACAAUGACGGGGGUAAGCGAGAUACAACUGACAUCUUUACACAUUUGACAUUACAAAAUCAGUUAAAAAGACUUACGAUAUAAAAAUACAUACAAAAUUUGUAUUUGUUUGAAUGAUAUAUAUCUAUAUAUAAAUAUCUGUACACAAUCAGACAGAGUCUCUUCGUUAUUCAACAUUAUAUACACAUAUUGUAUAAAAUAUGAUUUUGAAAGCCAAUUACAGCAUUUUCCCCCAUCAUUCACAAAACAUCACCAUAAAAAACAUUGACAACUUUCAUGGACUUCACUAAACAUUUAAAUGUUUAAAAAGAUAUGACACAUAUUGUUAGAAACUGCAUUUCAUGUAGUAUAAACCUGCAAAGAAUGGUAGGCAAUACUACAUUGUACUACAGAAGUUGUUUGACUGAAAGUGAUCUAGUACUAAAAUCACCAUGAUUGCAUCAAUGAAUGUUGAUAUGAUUCAUAUAGGUGUUUGAAUAUUAUAUAUUUUUUAUAACAAGCUACCCCACCCCUGCCCCCCCCAAAAAAAAAUCAUCGAACAGAAAUGCAAGAAUGUAGGCUUCCUUCUAAACAGGUAGAAAGGCUUACCAUUUGGCUGAAAUUAAAUAACCUCUCUCGCCAUUCACAUCACAGGAACUUAUCCUCGAUUCUUUGUUCAUUCACAUGCCAAUAAGUACCAAGUGCAGCAAGCAUAAGCUCAAUAGCUAUUUGACUGAAAGAAAAUGGAAUCACUUUGCAGCAAUUUUGAAAAAAUAUUUACCCUGGAUAAGUGUAUUUACCAGUUCAUUAACACCCUCUAUGGAAAGGAGAAUGGUCCUAACAUGAAUGGUGGUACAGAAACAUAUCUGGAUAGCUUCAUUAAGUUUUUUUUGUAGAUUCAAUCACAAAUUAAUAAGUUUGUAGUCAGAAAGUCGACAAACAAAAAGCCAUAAUUUCUCAUAUUGAUCAACCAUGAGCCUCAUAAAAAGUAGAAUUUUAUCUAGAAUCUAUUCUUGUUUUCCUUUGACAUAUGAAUACAGAAAUGCCCCAUCCCC